RNAcentral lists this transfer RNA (65 nucleotides) under Absicoccus porci. It matches the Rfam family "tRNA", at positions 5 to 66 of the family's 71-position model. Rfam says of the family: Transfer RNA (tRNA) molecules are approximately 80 nucleotides in length. Lineage: Bacteria; Bacillati; Bacillota; Erysipelotrichia; Erysipelotrichales; Erysipelotrichaceae. The record is from RNAcentral.
UCAUAGCUCAGUCGGUAGAGCAAAGGACUGAAAAUCCUUGUGUCGCUGGUUCGAUUCCGGCUGAG